CCUGCUCUGCCUCUGGAGGUCAAACAGUAACUGAGCGAGGAUGCCAGAAUUGUGUAAUGAAGCAAUUUAAUCAGUCUUGUAUUCAUUCAUGUAAACAGCUGCUGACAGACCAUCAUGAUGGGAUAUUUGGGAGACCAUUAAGCUCCUCUGAUGCUUGCCUGGCCUGCUGUGCUCCUCCAGCUUCACACAGUGUUACCUCCGACCCCAGCAUCAGCAGUUCUUACUACCUCUGCUGACAGACCAUCAUGAUGGGAUAUUUGGGAGACCAUUAAGCUCCUCUGAUGCUUGCCUGGCCUGCUGUGCUCCUCCAGCUUCACACAGUGUUACCUCCGACCCCAGCAUCAGCAGUUCUUACUACCUAACCCUGAGCAGCCUCUGGAGCCAGAAGUCAAUGCUAUGACCCACGUUGGCACGCCAGGAGUAGAACACUAUGCACAGAACACUGGCAUGGCUGUAUACACUGGAGGGAAUGUUUCCUGCGAGAUAUACCGGAAGGCAAAGUACUGGGCUAAUGUUGAUCUCAGUGAAGUUGGAUUCUUCUUCUUAGGCAGACCCUCAAGAUCAAACGUGAUUUCCUUCCACUCCUGGGCUGUGGACACUGUCGUGAUGCAACGGAUGAUACUGGGCCCACCAAUCCUGCUCCGUCUGCAACGCCAAGAUGGUUGGCCACAACUUCACCUUCAUAGCAUUUAACUUGCGUGCUGCAGAGAAGGCUCCGGAGGAUGAAAAACAACCACAUUUCACUCUCCUGAAAAACUGAACAACUGCUAAAGAGACAUUUCAUGCCUACACAGUAAGGAUGAAAGCAAGAAUCUACCUGAGCUGAUGACAGCUAGUAUGAUAGUACACAUUAACAAUUAACUUCAAAUUAUGUAACAAAAUGCAUCUAACUCCCAUGAAAAAAAACCUUAGCCAGGGCACAGUUAGAGAGCAAACAAAUGUUUAAGAUUGACAAAUGCAAAUACCUGGGAAACGAGAGGUCAAACAUCACAGACUUAUCAACAUCAAAAUUUAAUAACAGGUGAAUUGUGGAACCUUUUCAAACAGAUGUGCAAACAUUGCACGAUUAAAUGCUCUAUUACAGUUGCCAACCUUUGGUUUUCAUUAUUGUUACCCAAGCUGAAGACUAGCAACCUCCUGGAUAUACAAAUUA
Molecule: long non-coding RNA, 1153 nt
Organism: Stegostoma tigrinum
Lineage: Eukaryota; Metazoa; Chordata; Chondrichthyes; Orectolobiformes; Stegostomatidae
Exons: 5
Source: RefSeq, a predicted model, not a curated record